RNAcentral lists this ribosomal RNA (253 nucleotides) under uncultured bacterium. Its description in RNAcentral is "partial 16S ribosomal RNA". It matches the Rfam family "Bacterial small subunit ribosomal RNA", at positions 524 to 776 of the family's 1533-position model. The record is from RNAcentral.
GACGAACCGUCCAAACGUUGUUCGGAAUCACUGGGCUUAAAGGGCGCGUAGGCGGACUGCCAAGUCCGGGGUGAAAUCUUUCGGCUUAACCGGAAAAGAGCCUUGGAAACUGGCGGUCUCGAGGGAGGUAGGGGCCUGUGGAACUUCGGGUGGAGCGGUGAAAUGCGUUGAUAUCCGAAGGAACGCCGGUGGCGAAAGCGACGGGCUGGAUCUCUUCUGACGCUGAGGCGCGAAAGCCAGGGGAGCAAACGGG